This 172-nucleotide RNase P RNA is filed under the name Alphaproteobacteria bacterium. Its description in RNAcentral is "partial RNase P RNA component class A". It matches the Rfam family "Bacterial RNase P class A", at positions 1 to 177 of the family's 367-position model. Rfam says of the family: Ribonuclease P (RNase P) is a ubiquitous endoribonuclease, found in archaea, bacteria and eukarya as well as chloroplasts and mitochondria. Lineage: Bacteria; Pseudomonadati; Pseudomonadota; Alphaproteobacteria. The record is from RNAcentral.
UCAGAUGGCCGGAUGGCCGCGGCGGGCGAAAGCCCGUCGAGGAAAGUCCGGGCUCCACGGAAACACGGUGACGGAUAACAUCCGCCGGGGGCAACCCCAGGGAUAGCGCCACAGAAAACAAACCGCCUUCUCCUCGGAGCGGGUAAGGGUGAAACGGUGCGGCAAGAGCGCA